UAAGGAAUACUGCUCAAUGGGAGAAAUCCUGAAGCAGCAACGCCGCGUGGAGGAUGAAGGGUCUAUGACUUGUAAACUCCUGUAAAGAAGGAAAAAAUUCCCAUUUGAUGGGAGAUGAUGGUACUUCUGGAGUAAGCCCCGGCUAACUACGUGCCAGCAGCCGCGGUAAUACGUAGGGGGCAAGCGUUGUCCGGAUUUACUGGGUGUAAAGGGUGCUCAGGCGGAUUUGUAAGUCAGAGGUGAAAUCUUACAGCUUAACUGUGAAACUGCCUUUGAUACUGCAAGCCUAGAGUAUGGAAGAGAGCGAUGGAAUAUCUGGUGUAGCAGUGAAAUGCGUAGAUAUCAGAUAGAACACCAAUGGCGAAGGCAGUCACUUGGUCCAUUACUGACGCUAAAGCACGAAAGCGUGGGUAGCAAACA
This 420-nucleotide ribosomal RNA is filed under the name uncultured bacterium. Its description in RNAcentral is "bacterial SSU rRNA". It matches the Rfam family "Bacterial small subunit ribosomal RNA", at positions 355 to 774 of the family's 1533-position model. The record is from RNAcentral.